AUUGAACGCUGGCGGCAUGCUUUACACAUGCAAGUCGAACGGCAGCAUGGGCUUCGGCCUGAUGGCGAGUGGCGAACGGGUGAGUAAUACAUCGGAACGUACCUGAUAGUGGGGGAUAACUGACCGAAAGGUUAGCUAAUACCGCAUACGCCCCGAGGGGGAAAGUGGGGGACCAGCAAUGGCCUCACGCUAACAGAGCGGCUGAUGGCUGAUUAGCUAGUUGGUGAGGUAAAGGCUCACCAAGGCGACGAUCAGUAGCGGGUCUUAGAGGACGAACCGCCACACUGGAACUGAGACACGGUCCAGACUCCUGCGGGAGGGAGCAGUGGGGAAUAUUGGACCAUGGGCGCAAGCCUGAUCCAGCAAUGCCGCGUGGGUGAAGAAGGCCUUCGGGUUGUAAAGCCCUUUUGUUUGGGAGCAAAUCCUAACGGUUAAUACCUGUUGGGGAUGAGAGUACCAAAAGAAUCAGCACCGGCUAACUACGUGCCAGCCGCCGCCGUAA
This 502-nucleotide ribosomal RNA is filed under the name uncultured bacterium. RNAcentral describes it as "partial 16S ribosomal RNA". It matches the Rfam family "Bacterial small subunit ribosomal RNA", at positions 30 to 523 of the family's 1533-position model. The record is from RNAcentral.